This 446-nucleotide ribosomal RNA is filed under the name uncultured bacterium. Its description in RNAcentral is "partial 16S ribosomal RNA". It matches the Rfam family "Bacterial small subunit ribosomal RNA", at positions 338 to 795 of the family's 1533-position model. The record is from RNAcentral.
CCUACGGGAGGCAGCAGUCGAGAAUCAUUCACAAUGGGGGAAACCCUGAUGGUGCGACGCCGCGUGGGGGAAUGAAGGUCUUCGGAUUGUAAACCCCUGUCAUGUGGGAGCAAAUUAAAAAGAUAGUACCACAAGAGGAAGCGACGGCUAACUCUGUGCCAGCAGCCGCGGUAAUACAGAGGUCUCAAGCGUUGUUCGGAAUCACUGGGCGUAAGGCGUGCGGAGGCUGUUUCGUAAGUCGUGUGUGAAAGGCGCGGGCUCAACCCGCGGACGGCACAUGAUACUGCGAGACUAGAGUAAUGGAGGGGGAACCGGAAUUCUCGGUGUAGCAGUGAAAUGCGUAGAUAUCGAGAGGAACACUCGUGGCGAAGGCGGGUUCCUGGACAUUAACUGACGCUGAGGCACGAAGGCCAGGGGAGCGAAAGGGAUUAGAUACCCUGGUAGUC